Molecule: ribosomal RNA, 292 nt
Filed under: uncultured bacterium
Lineage: Bacteria
Description: partial 16S ribosomal RNA
Rfam family: Bacterial small subunit ribosomal RNA
Source: RNAcentral
GUGUCAGCCGCCGCGGUAAUACGGAGGGUGCAAGCGUUGUUCGGAAUUAUUGGGCGUAAAGAACGUGUAGGCGGGCCUGUGUGUCAGAUGUGAAAGCCCUCGGCUCAACUGAGGAAGUGCAUCUGAAACUGCAGGUCUUGAGUACGAGAGAGGAGAGUGGAAUUCCCAGUGUAGAGGUGAAAUUCAUAGAUAUUGGGAAGAACACCGGCGGCGAAAGCGGCUCUCUGGCUCGAUACUGACGCUGAGACGUGAAAGCGUGGGGAGCAAACAGGAUUAGAUACCCGCGUAGUCC